UUGGAGGGCAAGUCUGGUGCCAGCAGCCGCGGUAAUUCCAGCUCCAAUAGCGUAUAUUAAAGUUGUUGCAGUUAAAAAGCUCGUAGUUGAAUUUCGGGAUCGACGGGUCGGUCGCGCCUCUGGUGUGUACUGGCCCUGUCGGUUUCUCCCUUCUGACGAACCACGAUGUCAUUAAUUUGGUGUCGUGGGAAAUCAGGACUGUUACUUUGAAAAAAUUAGAGUGUUUAAAGCAGGCAUUCGCUUGAAUACAUUAGCAUGGAAUAAUGAAAUAGGACGUUUGAUCUUAUUUUGUUGGUUUCUAAGAUCGACGUAAUGAUUAAUAGGGAUAGUUGGGGGCAUUAGUAUUCAAUUGUCAGAGGUGAAAUUCUUGGAUUUAUUGAAGACUAACUACUGCGAAAGCAUUUGCCAAGGAUGUUUUCAUUAAUCAAGAACGAAAGUUAGGGGAUCGAAGACGAUCAGAUACCGUCGUAGUCUUAACCAUAAACUAUGCCGACUAGGGAUCGGAUGAUGUUAAUUUUUUAAUGACUCAUUCGGCGCCUUACGGGAAAC
RNAcentral lists this ribosomal RNA (549 nucleotides) under Glomus sp. Its description in RNAcentral is "SSU rRNA". It matches the Rfam family "Eukaryotic small subunit ribosomal RNA", at positions 548 to 1098 of the family's 1831-position model. Lineage: Eukaryota; Fungi; Glomeromycota; Glomeromycetes; Glomerales; Glomeraceae. RNAcentral also lists the same sequence under 2 other names. The record is from RNAcentral.